RNAcentral lists this ribosomal RNA (253 nucleotides) under uncultured bacterium. RNAcentral's name for it is "partial 16S ribosomal RNA". It matches the Rfam family "Bacterial small subunit ribosomal RNA", at positions 524 to 776 of the family's 1533-position model. The record is from RNAcentral.
GACGUAGGGGGCGAGCGUUGUCCGGAUUUAUUGGGCGUAAAGCGCGCGUAGGCGGCCCGUUAAGUCGGAUGUGAAAACCCGGGGCUCAACCCCGGGCCCGCAUUCGAUACUGGCGGGCUCGAGGCAGGCAGGGGAGAGUGGAAUUCCUGGUGUAGCGGUGAAAUGCGCAGAUAUCAGGAGGAACACCAAUAGCGAAGGCAGCUCGCUGGGACGGUAUUGACGCUAAGGCGCGAAAGCGUGGGGAGCAAACAGG